RNAcentral lists this microRNA precursor (141 nucleotides) under Vicugna pacos (alpaca). Its description in RNAcentral is "miRNA (ENSVPAG00000016288.1)". Lineage: Eukaryota; Metazoa; Chordata; Mammalia; Artiodactyla; Camelidae. The record is from RNAcentral.
CAGGAUGCCCACUUAAAUUUAAGUUUCCAAUAAACAAUGACUAAAAAAUUAUAAGUAUAGCCCAUGCAAUGUUUGGGAUAUACUUAUACUAAAAAUGUACUCAUUGCCUUCUGAAAUUCACAUUUGCCUGGGUUUCUUGUA